CAAAUCUAAUUAGCCACACCUCCUGAUUACUUUAGAGAUUUGAGGUAACAUAGUUUGUGGUAGUUUUUCUUUAUAAUUAUUAUCUUUUCAAUCAGUUAUUGAUCUUAUAUUGUCUUUUAGGUACUUUAUAGUCUGUGUAUUAGCGUAUCAGUACCGUAUAUACUCGUAUUGAAUCAGUUGGCAUGGUAUUGGAUGAUGUCAGUAGAGGGAGGAUCACGUGAUAGGUCACAUGACUUGAUAUCAACUGCCAUUCCUCGUGUGAACGGGUGGGAGUGUCCCUGGCACCCACUUAACUUCAAGUAUUAUCCUGGGGUGUUGUCCUAUUCUUGAGUCUAAUGCAUUAUGGGUUCAUUGUGUUCUAUUUCCCCUCAUACUGGAGGAUAAUGGGCUACACUGUAUCCUUUAUUAAUUAGGGGGUGGGGCUUAGCAAUGGGUGGAGCUUCACUAGUAAUAUUAUUACUUUGAAGCAUCAAUGUAGUCUAGUUUUAAGAGAUUGUACUGAUUUUAAUUAAUAAUUAAUGGAAUUAAAAAUAUACUA
Molecule: long non-coding RNA, 538 nt
Organism: Amphimedon queenslandica
Lineage: Eukaryota; Metazoa; Porifera; Demospongiae; Haplosclerida; Niphatidae
Exons: 3
Source: RefSeq, a predicted model, not a curated record